Molecule: long non-coding RNA, 976 nt
Organism: Lingula anatina
Lineage: Eukaryota; Metazoa; Brachiopoda; Lingulata; Lingulida; Lingulidae
Source: RefSeq, a predicted model, not a curated record
UCCAAUAUUAGUCAUACGUAGGUAUUAUCAGACACAGAAUUGCAGACUAGAACACAGAAUCUACUGUGCGUUUGUGGCAGCUCUCAGCCUAAUCUGUGAUACGUGCAGUUGUGACCUUAUUUCUGCAGCAUGAAGACCACCAUAGUGAUCGCACUUGCUGUCCUGGCUCUAUUUCAGAUAGUUUGCGCACAAAACAAUAAUACGACGGUGGCAUCUACUAUGGCGCCAGAGACCACCACUGGACCGGCCAGCGCAGCGACACCUGCGGCUGUAAUUUCACUACUUGCCGCAUUUCUCAUUCCCGCUCUUACGGCCCUAGUCCAUUGAAUAGUCGGGCCGUAACGGUGACUUUCUGAAGUAGAUCACACACACACACACACACGGAUUUUACUUUCUAUCUCUACUGACUGACACAGCGUCUCCUGUCACGCGUUGAAUGACGUUGACAUUCCAAAUGCAGUUGGCAGAGUGCUUGUAUUUUCUAUUUCACACUGUGAGGUUUGUUAGAUUACGGAUGCCUCUUUUGACUGCUUUAGUUAGCCGGUUGAUGAUGUCCGUGAAUGGGUACAGAUUUUGAGGGGAGACUUUUCCCCAAUGAUGCAUCUACACUUUGUGGACGGAAAUAGCCUUGCUGAUCAUGGAAAUGUUAGCUUAUAACUUCGUGCUGCACGUACGUGUUUUUUAGUGAAAUGAAAACAAAGUGAAAUACACUAUUUGUAGUAAUUGUUGGUAUUAAAAUGGUUUAGUUGAGUCUCAGCACAACUAAUGCAUUUUGGAUUGUGAUUUUCAGUGAUUGACACAGACACUUAGGAAAAUAAAGAAUGUUCAAAAGAAAGAUAUAUAUAUUUACAGUAUGAUUGAAAAUAUACUUAAUUUCAUUCCACAAUAUUCGGACAUCUUUUCUUAUAACUGUUUUGUAGGCCAUUAAAUAUCUCUGUAAAAUUUUAAGAUCUGAAUAAAUCGUAGUUUUGUUGUA